GAUGAACGCUGGCGGCGUGCUUAACACAUGCAAGUCGAACGAAGCUGUUAAAAGGAAGUCUUCGGAUGGAAUUUUAACAGACUUAGUGGCGGACGGGUGAGUAACGCGUGGAUAACCUGCCUUAUACAGGGGGAUAACGGAGAGAAAUUUCCGCUAAGACCGCAUAAGACCACAGCACCGCAUGGUGCAGGGGUAAAAUAUUAAUAGGUAUAAGAUGGAUCCGCGUCCGAUUAGCUGGUUGGUGAGGUAGAGGCUCACCAAGGCGACGAUCGGUAGCCGGCCUGAGAGGGUGAACGGCCACAUUGGGACUGAGACACGGCCCAAACUCCUACGGGAGGCAGCAGUGGGGAAUAUUGGACAAUGGGGGAAACCCUGAUCCAGCGACGCCGCGUGAGUGAAGAAGUAUUUCGGUAUGUAAAGCUCUAUCAGCAGGGAAGAAAAUGACG
This 446-nucleotide ribosomal RNA is filed under the name Lachnoanaerobaculum saburreum. Its description in RNAcentral is "bacterial SSU rRNA". It matches the Rfam family "Bacterial small subunit ribosomal RNA", at positions 28 to 456 of the family's 1533-position model. Lineage: Bacteria; Bacillati; Bacillota; Clostridia; Lachnospirales; Lachnospiraceae. The record is from RNAcentral.